This 3666-nucleotide long non-coding RNA is filed under the name Sus scrofa (pig). Its description in RNAcentral is "lncRNA (ENSSSCG00035034963.1)". Lineage: Eukaryota; Metazoa; Chordata; Mammalia; Artiodactyla; Suidae. The record is from RNAcentral.
GCUCUCGGCCGUCGCUGCCCAACGAGCUUCGAUAAACUGCUCUUUUACUGACACUCUGCAGGGCCCAUCCGAAAGAGAAAAUGGGGGGAGAACCCAGGACUCUGGCGUUCUGUUCUCCUAAUAAACUGAGGUUACGAUUGCAAGGUGUACGUAUGUGGGCGGUUGGACCAAUGCUGCCAUCUCGUGGCUGAAACCCCCAACACACCGCUACCUUCCUUAAGACCGCGCUGUGGUUUGAGGUGGUUUUAGGCGCGGGCCGCAGACGGGUGAAGCAAAGGAAGAUUUAAUUUGUCAGCCCAGUUAGACCUCCCCAGAUUCCCUGGUUUACUGAAUGGGGCAGGACUUAUGAAAACUAUAGAGAUGUGCAAAAGAACAACCAUCCUUCUCUCUGCUACUAUGAAUUUUGACUUUUUAAGAUUCUACAUGUAAAUGAUAUAAUGACAGCACCCCUGGACAUAGAGAAGUUCUCAGGCCAGGGGUGGAAUCUCUAGCCGCCGGCCUGCACCACAACCACAGCAACUCCAGAUCCAAGCCACAUCUGCGACCUACACCACAGCUCACAGCAACACCAGGUCCUUAACCCACUGAGUGAGGCCAGGGAUCAUACCUGAAUCCCCAUGGAUAUUAGUCGGGUUUGUUACUGCUGAGACAUGAUGGAACGCCCACCAUUUCUUUUUUUAAGUUAAAGUUUUGAUUUUAUGUUUAUCUUUUAUUAUAAAAACUCAUUAUAGAGUUUUAUUUUUUUCCACUAUAGCUGGUUUACAGUGUUCUGUCAAUUUUCUCCUGCAUAGCAAGGUGACCCAGUCACACAUACAUGUAUACAUUCUUUUUUCUUACAUUACCAUGCUCCAUUACAAGUGACCAGACACAGUUCCCAGUGCUAUACAGCGGGAUCCCAUUGCUUAUCCAUUCCAAAGGCAGUAGUUUGCAUCUAUUAAACCCAAAUUCCCAGUCCAUCCCACUCCCUCCCCCUCCCUCUUGGCAACCAGAAGUUUGUUCUUCUUGUCCAUGGUUUUCUUUUCUGUGGAAAGAUUCAUUUGUGCCAUAUAUUAGAUUCCAGAUAUAAGUGAUAUCAUAUGGUAUUUGUCUUUCUUUUUCUGACUUACUUCACUCAGUAUGAGUCUCUAGUUCCAUCCAUGUUGCUGCAAAUAGCAUUAUUUUUUUCUUUUUUUUUAAUGUCUGAAUAGUACUCCAUUGUGUAUAUAUACCACAUCUUCUUAAUCCAAUCCUCUGUCAAUGGACAUUUAGGUUGUUUCCAUGCCUUGGCUAUUGUGAAUAGUGCUGCAAUGAACAUGUGGGUGCAAGUGUCUUUUUCAAGGGAAGUUUUGUCCGAGUAUAUGUCCAAGAGUGGGGUUGCUGAGUCAUAUGAUAGUUCUAUGUAUAGUUUUCUAAGGUACCUCCAUACUGUUCUCCAUAGUGGCUGUACCAGCUUACAUUCCCAUCGACAGUGCAGGAAGGUUCCCUUUUCUCCACACCCUCUCCAGCAUUUGUUAUCUGUGGCCCUUCUGACUGGUGUGAGUGACUUUAUGUUUAAAAGUUAACACAUCUUGAGUUUUCUGAGCCAACAAGCAUGUUCUCUAACACCAUAUUCUACAAGUGGAUAUUGAAAUAAAUUUUAGCUAAAAUAUAUCAACAGAAGAAUUCCUACUAUUCCUUAAAUACAUUUUUGGUUUUUAACAUUCAGUUAAUUUAAAUUCUUCUAGUACUUACAUUGAAUUAUGGUGGUUUUUUCCCCCCUUUUCCCCAGCAGUUACUGAAAUAUACUUGACAUAUAAUAUUGUACUACUUUUAGUUGUACACAUAGCGAUUUCAUAUUUGUAUACAUAGCCAAAUUAUUACCAUAAUAAAUUUAGUUAACACUCAUACCCUCACAUAGUUAAUAAUUCUUUUUCUUGUGAUAAUAACUUUUAAGAUCUACUCUCCUAGCUAAUUACAAAUAUACAACAUUGUUAACCAUACUCACCAUGCUAUACAUUACAUCCCUAGAAUUUAUCUUAUGACUGGAAGUUUGUACCUUUUGCUUACCUUCACCCAUUUUGCCUCUCACCCCCAAACCCCACCUCUGGCAACUACCAAUACGUAUCUAUGAGUUUGGGUUUUCAUUUUUGUUUUUUUUGUUUUUUGUCUUUUUAGGGCCGAAUCUGUGGUAUAUGCAGCUUCCCAGGCUAUGAGUUGAGUUGAAGCUGUAGCUGCCAGCCGAGCAGUGUCUGCCAUCUAUACCACAGCUUACUGAGCCACAAUGGGAACUCCAAGUUUGGGGUUUUGUUUUUUUUAAGAUUCCAUGUAUAGAUGAGAUCAUACAGGGUUUGUCUUUCUCUUUCUGACUUAUUUCACAUAAUGCCUUCAGGGUCCAUCUGUCAUUGCAAAUGGCAGGAUUUCUUUUAUUUAGAAAUAAUUUUAUUGAAAUAUAGUUGUUUCACAACAUUGUUCCUUCAUUUUUAUGGCUGAAUUUCCUCUGAUAUAUAUUGAUAUACUGAUGUCAUAUUUUCUUUAUCCGUUCAUCCAUCAAUGGACAUUUGGGUUGAUUCCAUAUGUUGGCUGUUGUAAAUCAUCCUGCAAUGAACAUGAAGGUGCAGAUAGGUAUCUUUUUGAGAUAGUGGUUUUUCUUUCUUUUGAAUAUAUACAUAGAAGUAGGAUUGCCGGAUUAUAUGGCAGUUUUCAAUUUUUUGAUGAACCUCCAUACUGUUCUCCAUAGUGGCUAUGCCAGUUUACAUUCCCACCUACAGUGAACAAGGGUUCCUUUUUCUCCACAUCCCCACCAACUUUUGUUAUUUCUGGGUUUUUUUUGAUGAUAGGCAUUGUAAGGUGAUAUCUCAGUGUGUGUGUGUGUGUGUGUGUGUGUGUGUGUGUUUGGCCAUGCCUAAGGCAUGUGGAGAUUCUCUGGGUCAGGAAUUGAACCCAUGCCAAAGCAGUGACCUGAGCCAUAGCCAUGACAGUGCUCCAUCCUUAACCACCAGGCUACCAGGGAACUCCCCCACCUAUAUUUUUUCUUCUAGGAGUUUUAUGGUGUCUAGUCUUACAUUUAGGUCUUUAAUCCAUUUUGAGUUUAUUUUUAUAUAUGGUGUUAGAGAAUGUUCUAAUUUCAUUCUUGUACAAGUAACUGUCCAGUUUUCCUAGUACCACUUAUUGAAUAGAAUAUAUUUUCUCCAUUGUAUAUUCUUGCCUCCUUUGUCAUGGAUUAAUUAACCAUAAGUGUGUGGAUUUAUUUUGGGGCUUUCUUUUCUUUUCCAUUGAUCUAUGUGUCUGUUGGAAGCACAACUGAUUAUUGUGUAUUGAUUUUGAAUACUCCAAAUUUACUGGAUUUAUUAGUUGUAAGAGUUUGUGCGUGUGUGCGUGUGUGUGUGGAGUCUUUAGAGUUUUCUUCCUGUAGGAUCAUGCCAUCUGCAAACAGUGAGAACUGUCCUUCUUCCUUUUAGAUUUGGAUUUCUUUUUUGUGGGGGCUCUGAUUGCUGUUUACAAUAUUUCUAGUACAAUGUUGAAUAGAAGUGGCAAGAGUGGACAUCCUUGUCUUGUACUGAAUCUUAGGAAAAAAUUAUCAGUUUUUCUGCAUUGAUUAUGAUUUAGCUGUGACUUUUCAUAAAUGGUCUCUGUUAUGUUGAGAAAGUUUCCUUUUGUACCUAUUUUGUUGAGAAUUUAUAUCACAAAUAAAUGUUGAAUGUUGUCAAA